This 497-nucleotide ribosomal RNA is filed under the name uncultured bacterium. RNAcentral describes it as "partial 16S ribosomal RNA". It matches the Rfam family "Bacterial small subunit ribosomal RNA", at positions 28 to 507 of the family's 1533-position model. The record is from RNAcentral.
GAUGAACGCUGGCGGCGUGCCUAAUACAUGCAAGUCGAGCGAACAGACGAGGAGCUUGCUCCUCUGACGUUAGCGGCGGACGGGUGAGUAACACGUGGAUAACCUACCUAUAAGACUGGGAUAACUUCGGGAAACCGGAGCUAAUACCGGAUAAUAUAUUGAACCGCAUGGUUCAAUAGUGAAAGACGGUUUUGCUGUCACUUAUAGAUGGAUCCGCGCCGCAUUAGCUAGUUGGUAAGGUAACGGCUUACCAAGGCAACGAUGCGUAGCCGACCUGCGAGUGUGAUCGGCCACCCUGGAACUGAGACACGGUCCAGACUCCUACGGGAGGCAGCAGUAGGGAAUCUUCCGCAAUGGGCGAAAGCCUGACGGAGCAACGCCGCGUGAGUGAUGAAGGUCUUCGGAUCGUAAAACUCUGUUAUUAGGGAAGAACAAAUGUGUAAGUAACUAUGCACGUCUUGACGGUACCUAAUCAGAAAGCCACGGCUAACUACGUG